CCUACGGGAGGCAGCAGUGGGGAAUAUUGGGCAAUGGGCGCAAGCCUGACCCAGCAACGCCGCGUGAAGGAAGAAGGCUUUCGGGUUGUAAACUUCUUUUCUGAGGGACGAUGAUAGUGACGGUACCUUAGGAAUAAGCCGCGGCUAACUACGUGCCAGCCGCCGCGGUAAUACGGAGGAGGCAAGUGUUAUCCGGAAUGACUGGGCGUAAAGGGUGCGUAGGUGGUUUGACAAGUUAGUAGCGCAACUCCGGAGCUAAACUUCGGAACUACUACUAAAACUGUUGGACUUGAGUGCAGGAGGGGUAGUCGGAAUUCCUAGUGUAGCGGUGGAAUGCGUAGAGAUUAGGAGGAACACCAGUGGCGAAGGCGGAUUGCUAGACUGUAACUGACACUGAGGCACGAAAGCGUGGGGAGCAAACAGGAUUAGAUACCCCUGUAGUC
RNAcentral lists this ribosomal RNA (443 nucleotides) under uncultured bacterium. RNAcentral describes it as "partial 16S ribosomal RNA". It matches the Rfam family "Bacterial small subunit ribosomal RNA", at positions 338 to 795 of the family's 1533-position model. The record is from RNAcentral.